UACGUAGGGCGCGAGCGUUGUCCGGAAUUAUUGGGCGUAAAGAGCUCGUAGGCGGUUUGUCGCGUCGGUUGUGAAAACCCAAGGCUCAACCUUGGGCCUGCAAUCGAUACGGGCAGACUAGAGUACUGCAGGGGAGACUGGAAUUCCUGGUGUAGCGGUGGAAUGCGCAGAUAUCAGGAGGAACACCGGUGGCGAAGGCGACUUCCUGGCCUGUUCUUGACGCUGAGGCGCGAAAGCUAGGGUAGCAAACGGG
This 253-nucleotide ribosomal RNA is filed under the name uncultured bacterium. RNAcentral describes it as "partial 16S ribosomal RNA". It matches the Rfam family "Bacterial small subunit ribosomal RNA", at positions 524 to 776 of the family's 1533-position model. The record is from RNAcentral.